Molecule: ribosomal RNA, 490 nt
Filed under: Aquarana catesbeiana (American bullfrog)
Lineage: Eukaryota; Metazoa; Chordata; Amphibia; Anura; Ranidae
Description: Lithobates catesbeianus (American bullfrog) partial 12S ribosomal RNA
Rfam family: Bacterial small subunit ribosomal RNA
Source: RNAcentral
GCCGUAAACAAUUAAUUUACACCAAUAAGCGCCAGGGAAUUACGAGCAAUGCUUAAAACCCAAAGGAUUUGACGGUGUCCCACCCCACUAGAGGAGCCUGUUCUAUAAUCGAUGAUCCCCGAUAUACCCGACCAUUUCUCGCUUAUCAGUCUGUAUACCUCCGUCGAAAGCUUACCAUGUGAACGCUUGCAGUAGGCUUAAUGACCUAACACGUCAAUACGUCAGGUCAAGGUGCAGCUUAAGAAAUGGGAAGUAAUGGGCUACAAUUUCUAAUCUAGAACAAACGAAAGACUAUAUGAAAUUAUAAUCAUGAAGGUGGAUUUAGUAGUAAAAAGAAAAUAGAGUGUUCUUUUUAACCCGGCUCUGGGACGCGUACACACCGCCCGUCACCCUCUUCGAUAGUAUCUCACCCCGUUCCUAACCCACUAUUACAUUUUAGAAGAGGCAAGUCGUAACAUGGUAAGUGUACUGGAAAGUGCACUUGGUUUAU